ACUACAUCCACUACACAAACACACACUCUGCAUUCACUAUACACACACUGCAUCCACUACACAAACAUGCACUCUGCAUUCACUAUACACACACACAUCCACUACACAAACACACUCUGCAUUCACUAUACACACACUACAUCCACUACACAAACACGCACUCUGCAUUCACUAUACACACACUACAUCCACUACACAAACACGCACUCUGCAUUCACUAUACACACACUACAUCCACUACACAAACACGCACUCUGCAUUCACUAUACACACACUACAUCCACUACACAAACACGCACUCUGCAUUCACUAUACACACACUAGAUCCACUACACAAACACACACUCUGCAUUCACUAUACACA
Non-coding RNA from Pelobates cultripes (western spadefoot toad), 364 nucleotides. The record is from the annotation of a GenBank genome assembly. Lineage: Eukaryota; Metazoa; Chordata; Amphibia; Anura; Pelobatidae.